This 305-nucleotide ribosomal RNA is filed under the name uncultured bacterium. Its description in RNAcentral is "bacterial SSU rRNA". It matches the Rfam family "Bacterial small subunit ribosomal RNA", at positions 338 to 641 of the family's 1533-position model. The record is from RNAcentral.
CCUACGGGACGCAGCAGUGAGGAAUAUUGGUCAAUGGGAGAGAUCCUGAACCAGCCAAGCCGCGUGAGGGAAGACGGCCCAAUGGGUUGCAAACCUCUUUUGCCGGAGAACAAAACCCGGGACGAGUCCCGGCCUGAGUGUAUCCGAAGAAAAAGCAUCGGCUAACUCCGUGCCAGCAGCCGCGGUAAUACGGAGGGUGCGAGCGUUAUCCGGAUUUAUUGGGUUUAAAGGGUGCGCAGGCGGUCCGUUAAGCCAGCGGUAAAAUUGCGGGGCUCAACCCCGCCGAGCCGUUGAAACUGGCAGCC